AACGAACGCUGGCGGCAUGCCUAACACAUGCAAGUCGAACGAGACCUUCGGGUCUAGUGGCGCACGGGUGCGUAACGCGUGGGAACCUGCCCUUAGGUUCGGAAUAACUCCCCGAAAGGGGUGCUAAUACCGGAUAAUGUCUUCGGACCAAAGAUUUAUCGCCUUUGGAUGGGCCCGCGUUGGAUUAGCUAGUUGGUAGGGUAAAAGCCUACCAAGGCGACGAUCCAUAGCUGGUCUGAGAGGAUGAUCAGCCACACUGGGACUGAGACACGGCCCAGACUCCUACGGGAGGCAGCAGUGGGGAAUAUUGGACAAUGGGCGAAAGCCUGAUCCAGCAAUGCCGCUUGAGUGAUGAAGGCCUUAGGGUUGUAAAGCUCUUUUACCCGGGAUGAUACUGACAGUACCGGGAGAAUAAGCUCCGGCUAACUCCGUG
RNAcentral lists this ribosomal RNA (433 nucleotides) under uncultured bacterium. RNAcentral's name for it is "partial 16S ribosomal RNA". It matches the Rfam family "Bacterial small subunit ribosomal RNA", at positions 29 to 507 of the family's 1533-position model. The record is from RNAcentral.